This 434-nucleotide ribosomal RNA is filed under the name uncultured Mesorhizobium sp. Its description in RNAcentral is "bacterial SSU rRNA". It matches the Rfam family "Bacterial small subunit ribosomal RNA", at positions 984 to 1415 of the family's 1533-position model. Lineage: Bacteria; Pseudomonadati; Pseudomonadota; Alphaproteobacteria; Hyphomicrobiales; Phyllobacteriaceae. The record is from RNAcentral.
ACAUACAGGUCGCGGUUUCCAGAGAUGGAUUCCUUCAGUUCGGCUGGACCGGUGACAGGUGCUGCAUGGCUGUCGUCAGGUCGUGUCGUGAGAUGUUGGGUUAAGUCCCGCAACGAGCGCAACCCUCGCCCUUAGUUGCCAGCAUUAAGUUGGGCACUCUAAGGGGACUGCCGGUGAUAAGCCGAGAGGAAGGUGGGGAUGACGUCAAGUCCUCAUGGCCCUUACGGGCUGGGCUACUCACGUGCUACAUUGGUGCUGACAGUGGUCAGCGAGACCGCGAGGUCGAGCUAAUCUCCAAAAGCCAUCUCAGUUCGGAUUGCACUCUGCAACUCGAGUGCAUGAAGUUGGAAGCGCUAGUAAUCGCGGAUCAGCAUGCCGCGGUGAAUACGUUCCCGGGCCUUGUACACACCGCCCGUCACACCAUGGGAGUUUGU